AUUGAACGCUGGCGGCAGGCUUAACACAUGCAAGUCGAGCGGGGAAAGGUAGCUUGCUACCUGACCUAGCGGCGGACGGGUGAGUAAUGCUUAGGAAUCUGCCUAUUAGUGGGGGACAACAUCUCGAAAGGGAUGCUAAUACCGCAUACGUCCUACGGGAGAAAGCAGGGGACCUUCGGUCCUUGCGCUAAUAGAUGAGCCUAAGUCGGAUUAGCUAGUUGGUGGGGUAAAGGCCUACCAAGGCGACGAUCUGUAGCGGGUCUGAGAGGAUGAUCCGCCACACUGGGACUGAGACACGGCCCAGACUCCUACGGGAGGCAGCAGUGGGGAAUAUUGGACAAUGGGGGGAACCCUGAUCCAGCCAUGCCGCGUGUGUGAAGAAGGCCUUUUGGUUGUAAAGCACUUUAAGCGAGGAGGAGGCUACCGAGAUUAAUACUCUUGGAUAGUGGACGUUACUCGCAGAAUAAGCACCGGCUAACUCUGUG
Molecule: ribosomal RNA, 485 nt
Filed under: uncultured bacterium
Lineage: Bacteria
Description: partial 16S ribosomal RNA
Rfam family: Bacterial small subunit ribosomal RNA
Source: RNAcentral